GUCAGGAUGGCCGAGUGGUCUAAGGCGCCAGACUCAAGUUCUGGUCCUCAUUUGAGGGCGUGGGUUCAAAUCCCACUUCUGACA
Non-coding RNA from Picea glauca (white spruce), 84 nucleotides. Lineage: Eukaryota; Viridiplantae; Streptophyta; Pinopsida; Pinales; Pinaceae. The record is from Rfam.